This 271-nucleotide long non-coding RNA is filed under the name Lathyrus oleraceus (garden pea). Its description in RNAcentral is "Pisum sativum (pea) long non-coding RNA (PSAT_LNC037447)". Lineage: Eukaryota; Viridiplantae; Streptophyta; Magnoliopsida; Fabales; Fabaceae. The record is from RNAcentral.
AAAUUAUCUCUUCUCUCUCAAUUUUGCUCAAAAAAAAAAACUUCAAUAACAUUUUGCAUCAAUUGAUCAAUUUUGGAUGGAUCUUUGUGAUAAUUCUAUGCAUGUUCAUCAUUGUUAGCUAUUGUGAAGCUUCUGUUUGCAGGUAAAAUCCAAGAAUCAUCCGCAUUUCGCAACGGUUGCAAAACCAGUGAGAUUCCGUCACAGUCCAAGAACUGAUGCGAUUUGGAGAUUUUGGAGCUUCAAGAACCACUCCACGCACCUGCCACGACCG